CGCAGCCCAUCCACAAAGCCCACAACCGAGAGACGCCGAGCAACACCGGCCAGCUCACCUCCACAGGCCCUUCACCACACCGGCUUCACCGCCUAGACAUGCAUGCGAUCAGACACAUGGAGAAAGCACCCACAGAGCUCCGUUCUUCCGGCCUUUGCUUUGGUUUGGAUAAAGGGGUGGUUUUUCCAAUACACAGAGUGCCCAAAGGGGCUAGUUUGGGGGCUCCGGUCCUGUGGGCUGCAGAUUCCCACCAGGGAUGGUUCUAUCUAAAUUGCCGUGGAAGGAGACAAAGCAGG
Molecule: long non-coding RNA, 296 nt
Organism: Perognathus longimembris pacificus (Pacific pocket mouse)
Lineage: Eukaryota; Metazoa; Chordata; Mammalia; Rodentia; Heteromyidae
Exons: 3
Source: RefSeq, a predicted model, not a curated record